UUUGAAAUGAGGAAACAUUCGUCCGUUUUUUUCUUAGAAGAAAACCAUGCUGCUUUAUCGAAUUCCCCAACUGAUAAA
RNAcentral lists this small nucleolar RNA (78 nucleotides) under Drosophila ananassae. Its description in RNAcentral is "snoRNA:GF26120". Lineage: Eukaryota; Metazoa; Arthropoda; Insecta; Diptera; Drosophilidae. The record is from RNAcentral.